This 72-nucleotide transfer RNA is filed under the name Camelus bactrianus (Bactrian camel). It matches the Rfam family "tRNA". From Rfam's summary of the family: Transfer RNA (tRNA) molecules are approximately 80 nucleotides in length. Their secondary structure includes four short double-helical elements and three loops (D, anti-codon, and T loops). The record is from Rfam by way of RNAcentral. Lineage: Eukaryota; Metazoa; Chordata; Mammalia; Artiodactyla; Camelidae. RNAcentral also lists the same sequence under 3 other names.
GAGGGUAAAGCUUAGUGGUAGAGUGUGUGCUUAGUGUGCACGAGGUCCUGGGUUCAAUCCCUAGUACCUCUA